RNAcentral lists this transfer RNA (85 nucleotides) under Caudoviricetes sp. Its description in RNAcentral is "tRNA-Leu". It matches the Rfam family "tRNA". From Rfam's summary of the family: Transfer RNA (tRNA) molecules are approximately 80 nucleotides in length. Their secondary structure includes four short double-helical elements and three loops (D, anti-codon, and T loops). The record is from RNAcentral. Lineage: Duplodnaviria; Heunggongvirae; Uroviricota; Caudoviricetes.
GCUACCGUGGUGGAACGCAUACACGUUCGCCUUAAGAGCGAAUGCCAGCGAUGGAUUGCGGGCUCACAUCCCGCCGGUAGCACCA